This 451-nucleotide ribosomal RNA is filed under the name uncultured bacterium. RNAcentral describes it as "partial 16S ribosomal RNA". It matches the Rfam family "Bacterial small subunit ribosomal RNA", at positions 29 to 523 of the family's 1533-position model. The record is from RNAcentral.
AACGAACGCUGGCGGCAGGCCUAACACAUGCAAGUCGAGCGCCCGGAUUUAUCCGGGAGCGGCGCACGGGUGAGUAACGCGUGGGAACAUGCCCUGAAGUACGGAACAACCUGGGGAAACCUUGGCUAAUACCGUAUACGCCCUGAGGGGGAAAGAUUUAUCGCUUUGGGAUUGGCCCGCGUUGGAUUAGCUGUUUGGUGUGGUAACGGCGCACCAAGGCGACGAUCCAUAACUGGUCUGAGAGGAGUACCAGUCACACUGGGACUGGGACACGGGCCGAACUCCUACGGGAGGCAGCAGUGGGGAAUAUUGGACAAUGGGCGAAAGCCUGAUCCAGCCAUGCCGCGUGAGUGAAGAAGGCCUUCGGGUUGUAAAGCUCUUUCAGCGGGGACGAUGAUGACGGUACCCGCAGAAGAAGCCCCGGCUAACUUCGUGCCAGCCGCCGCCGUAA